GCCCAUGUGGUGUAAUGGAUAGCACUACGGAUUUCGGCUCCGUCAGUCAGGGUUCGAGUCCUUGCAUGGGUA
Molecule: transfer RNA, 72 nt
Filed under: Ignavibacteria bacterium
Lineage: Bacteria; Pseudomonadati; Ignavibacteriota; Ignavibacteria
Description: tRNA-Arg
Rfam family: tRNA
About the family: Transfer RNA (tRNA) molecules are approximately 80 nucleotides in length. Their secondary structure includes four short double-helical elements and three loops (D, anti-codon, and T loops). Further hydrogen bonds mediate the characteristic L-shaped molecular structure. tRNAs have two regions of fundamental functional importance: the anti-codon, which is responsible for specific mRNA codon recognition, and the 3' end, to which the tRNAs corresponding amino acid is attached (by aminoacyl-tRNA synthetases). tRNAs cope with the degeneracy of the genetic code in two manners: having more than one tRNA (with a specific anti-codon) for a particular amino acid; and 'wobble' base-pairing, i.e. permitting non-standard base-pairing at the 3rd anti-codon position.
Source: RNAcentral